UGGAAGCCGGGUGUACCUAAAGUCGGUAACCGCAAAGAGCCGCCUAGGGUAAAAUCGGUAACUGGGGCU
RNAcentral lists this ribosomal RNA (69 nucleotides) under uncultured bacterium. Its description in RNAcentral is "partial 16S ribosomal RNA". The record is from RNAcentral.